This 253-nucleotide ribosomal RNA is filed under the name uncultured prokaryote. RNAcentral's name for it is "partial 16S ribosomal RNA". It matches the Rfam family "Bacterial small subunit ribosomal RNA", at positions 525 to 777 of the family's 1533-position model. The record is from RNAcentral.
ACGAGGGGUCCUAGCGUUGUUCGGAAUCACUGGGCGUAAAGCGUAUGUAGGCGGGCUUUUAAGUCGGGUGUGAAAUCCCACGGCUCAACCGUGGAAUUGCAUUCGAAACUGGAAGUCUUGAGUGUGGGAGAGAUUGGUAGAAUACCUAGUGUAGUGGUGAAAUACGUAGAUAUUAGGUGGAAUACCGGUGGCGAAGGCGGCCAAUUGGCCCAACACUGACGCUGAGAUACGAAAGCGUGGGGAUCAAACAGGA